Molecule: ribosomal RNA, 433 nt
Filed under: uncultured bacterium
Lineage: Bacteria
Description: partial 16S ribosomal RNA
Rfam family: Bacterial small subunit ribosomal RNA
Source: RNAcentral
AACGAACGCUGGCGGCAGGCCUAACACAUGCAAGUCGAGCGAGAUCUUCGGGUCUAGCGGCGGACGGGUGAGUAACGCGGGGGAAUAUGCCUCUUGGUACGGAAUAGCCUCGGGAAACUGGGAGUAAUACCGUAUGUGCCCUUUGGGGGAAAGAUUUAUCGCCAAGAGAUUAGCCCGCGUUGGAUUAGGUAGUUGGUGGGGUAAUGGCCUACCAAGCCGACGAUCCAUAGCUGGUUUGAGAGGAUGAUCAGCCACACUGGGACUGAGACACGGCCCAGACUCCUACGGGAGGCAGCAGUGGGGAAUCUUAGACAAUGGGUGCAACCCUGAUCUAGCCAUGCCGCGUGAGUGAUGAAUGCCUUAGGGUUGUAAAGCUCUUUCAGCUGGGAAGAUAAUGACGGUACCAGCAGAAGAAGCCCCGGCUAACUCCGUG